This 1372-nucleotide ribosomal RNA is filed under the name uncultured bacterium. RNAcentral describes it as "bacterial SSU rRNA". It matches the Rfam family "Bacterial small subunit ribosomal RNA", at positions 28 to 1381 of the family's 1533-position model. The record is from RNAcentral.
GAUGAACGCUGGCGGCGUGCCCAAUACAUGCAAGUCGAGCGAACGGACGAGAAGCUUGCUUCUCUGAUGUUAGCGGCGGACGGGUGAGUAACACGUGGAUAACCUACCUAUAAGACUGGGAUAACUUCGGGAAACCGGAGCUAAUACCGGAUAAUAUUUUGAACCGCAUGGUUCAAAAGUAAAAGACGGUCUUGCUGUCACUUAUAGAUGGAUCCGCGCUGCAUUAGCUAGUUGGUAAGGUAACGGCUUACCAAGGCAACGAUGCAUAGCCGACCUGAGAGGGUGAUCGGCCACACUGGAACUGAGACACGGUCCAGACUCCUACGGGAGGCAGCAGUAGGGAAUCUUCCGCAAUGGGCGAAAGCCUGACGGAGCAACGCCGCGUGAGUGAUGAAGGUCUUCGGAUCGUAAAACUCUGUUAUUAGGGAAGAAUAUAUGUGUAAGUAACUGUGCACAUCUUGACGGUACCUAAUCAGAAAGCCACGGCUAACUACGUGCCAGCAGCCGCGGUAAUACGUAGGUGGCAAGCGUUAUCCGGAAUUAUUGGGCGUAAAGCGCGCGUAGGCGGUUUUUUAAGUCUGAUGUGAAAGCCCACGGCUCAACCGUGGAGGGUCAUUGGAAACUGGAAAACUUGAGUGCAGAAGAGGAAAGUGGAAUUCCAUGUGUAGCGGUGAAAUGCGCAGAGAUAUGGAGGAACACCAGUGGCGAAGGCGACUUUCUGGUCUGUAACUGACGCUGAUGUGCGAAAGCGUGGGGAUCAAACAGGAUUAGAUACCCUGGUAGUCCACGCCGUAAACGAUGAGUGCUAAGUGUUAGGGGGUUUCCGCCCCUUAGUGCUGCAGCUAACGCAUUAAGCACUCCGCCUGGGGAGUACGACCGCAAGGUUGAAACUCAAAGGAAUUGACGGGGACCCGCACAAGCGGUGGAGCAUGUGGUUUAAUUCGAAGCAACGCGAAGAACCUUACCAAAUCUUGACAUCCUUUGACAACUCUAGAGAUAGAGCCUUCCCCUUCGGGGGACAAAGUGACAGGUGGUGCAUGGUUGUCGUCAGCUCGUGUCGUGAGAUGUUGGGUUAAGUCCCGCAACGAGCGCAACCCUUAAGCUUAGUUGCCAUCAUUAAGUUGGGCACUCUAAGUUGACUGCCGGUGACAAACCGGAGGAAGGUGGGGAUGACGUCAAAUCAUCAUGCCCCUUAUGAUUUGGGCAACACACGUGCUACAAUGGACAAUACAAAGGGCAGCGAAACCGCGAGGUCAAGCAAAUCCCAUAAAGUUGUUCUCAGUUCGGAUUGUAGUCUGCAACUCGACUACAUGAAGCUGGAAUCGCUAGUAAUCGUAGAUCAGCAUGCUACGGUGAAUACGUUCCCGGGUCU